RNAcentral lists this antisense RNA (75 nucleotides) under Micromonospora carbonacea. RNAcentral describes it as "ASpks TB sRNA". It matches the Rfam family "ASpks TB sRNA". Lineage: Bacteria; Bacillati; Actinomycetota; Actinomycetes; Micromonosporales; Micromonosporaceae. The record is from RNAcentral.
CUUGAUCGACCCGAGCCACAGCGGCCGGUCGGCGGGGCGGUCCUGCCCGUAGGUGGCCAGCAGCGCCUGGGCCUC